AAACAAACAAAGAAAACAAAAUCGUGAGCUGUCCUAGAGUUUUAAAAACAGUGAUACUCUAAAAGGGGAACAACAACAAACCCUAAAGACAAGCACCUUUCGGCUCUGAUACAUCAAGAGACUUCAUCCUUUUGGGUUACAGUUUUAAAGCAAAUCACUGUAUUCCUCCGGACCCUACUGUUCUCAUUUCUGCAUUAUAUUAUUACAUCAUUAUACAUAUAUAUUUCUCAUUUAUAACUCAGUGAAAGACUGAUGAAUUAGCACAUGUCCAUAAUCCCAAUGCUGAAGAAACGGGAGAAGGAUGUGUAGAAGGGAUAGGAUAUUCACUAGAAUUAUGAAGUUUCAGUGAAAUAAUGUACAAGACAAAGCAAUUAGCACUAAGAUUGCCAUACAACAAGCAUUCAGUUGGUACUGGUACCUUUGUCGAAAAGGUAAGGCCAUAGCCACAGACAUGGCAGGUGCUUCUCAGAACUGGAUCUCAGAUGUUGAAGCUUUGGAUCCCUCCCUGCCACCCAUCUGUCCAGAACCAGUUCAUGGACUCCCUCCUCACCUUCCCAAGCCCAGAGUGCUAAAUUGAUGAAGCUAAAAGGGUUUAAUCAUGUUGGUAUAUUUAUAUGUAAAUACAAAACUGUACCACUAUAAGAUAUUGAAUAUGAACAUUACAAUUAUUUACUGAAUCUGACUCAGUCCAUUGAUGUUAAAUACAAAAUGAAAUGAUUGUAAAAAAUAAGAAUAUACACAUUCAAAGAUCUUAUUACAGUAUAAAAUUAUUGGGUCUGACCAGCUGCCAACCUCAUCAUCUGGAGUAGGGGAACAUUUAGGGGGAUCAGUGGAGUUUUGUGGGAACACUGAAGUGUUGGGAACUCUUGAUUCUAUUCCUAGCAAAUCAGACUGGGAAAAGACAGGAUCAAGUUGGAUGGGUAGGGGACCAGUGAUUGCAAGGAACUACCUCAUCCAGCCAAGGGGAUUAUUAUACUUUAUAAGGACAUAGAACACAUUUAGUUUGAGGUCUGGGAUCUGGAAGGCUAGCAGGCAAGGAGAACUGGGCAUCUCAGUCGACAAGGAAGAGUUGCACAAAGAAAGGGUCUUUCAAUGAAAGAAAAAAGGGGUCCCAGUUUGUCCUCCCAGGAAGGGAGUUUCAUAUUAGGUUCCUUUCAGUCACUCCAGGAUUCUCCUUUCUUUUAAGAUUUCGUACCGAUUACUUUUGGCUCUGGCAGCUCUGUAAAUUCAUCUCUAGCCUUGGACCCCAUUGCUGGGAUUAGUCACCGUGAGGAAUCCAAACCGGAUCCGAGAGUCUUUUUCUAAAGGCCAGUACUGUCCACAUUUUCUUCUGCCGCCUUCCUCGAAGCUGAAGAUAAACAGAGCAAGUUAAGCUUCACUCUUCAACAGGCAAAAAAGCUUCUUCCCACCACAAACUGCUGAGCUCCUAGGCAGCAAUGCCAUGUGAUCUGCAAAGCUCCUGAAGUCUGCCACUGAUGCUCGGCAGAAAAAGAAUGAAAUCUCUCCAUUCUAAACAGAUGGUAGAGAAACGAAGGAAGAGGAAGCAAUUGAAGAAAGCAGGAAUGAAAAGCAAAGGGACUGGGGAUCCAGCAGCCAGAGACAUCUUCCCUCUUGAGUCGAGCCUUCUGCUUCACAGUGCUUCCUCCAGUGAAUAAGGCCAGGACCCCAGGGCGGCUGUAACGAGCACUGGGUCCCUAGAAUUAGGGAUUCAAUAUCUACAAGGCUAUCUCUUUCUCCACCAGACCUCAGCAUGUCAACAAGUAAUGUGCCAUGGCUUUCCUAGUCACUCAGGGUCAGGGUAAAGGCAGGGAGGGUAUGGAAAAAAGAAGACUAACUUACCGGGUGGUCAUUACAAUCACCAAAACUUUUUGCUCCCAAACCAUGAGCCAGAAGUCACGAUAGGUAUUCUCCAAAGGGCCUAGAAUGAAAGGAGACGACGAAGAACAGACACUUCAGAAACAUGUCUGUCUUUCUUCCAAACAGUAAGUCCAAAGCACAGAUGUAAGCUCCCUGCUUUUCUUUCCGUUGUUGUUGUUGUUGUCUAGGAGAGGGUCUCUCCUAGACUUAGACUAUGUACUCCAGCAUGACCCAGAACUCCUGUUCCUCUGGCCUCCCCUCCCAAGUGCUGCAAUUACAAGUAUUCAUACGAGCCACCACAGACUUCCUAUUCUUAUCUCUGAUUUUUUCAGAGAGGUUCUCACACCAACCAUAACAUCUCAGUAUGAGUAUUAGAGACAUAGAAUGACAAGGCUGGAGAGAUGGCUCAGCAGUUGAAAAUCAUGCUGUUCUUGCAGAAGUCCUAAAUUCAGUUCCCAGAACAUACGUCAGGUAUCUCAGUGUGUAACUCCACCUCCAAGGGAUCCAAUGACCUUUUCUGGCAUCCACAGGAACCUGCAUUCACAUGCACACAUCCACAUACAAACAUACAUAUACAUAACUAAAAAUAAAAUAAAUCAGGGCUAGAGAGACCAGUGGUUAAGACCAGUUGUUGAUCUUGCAAAGGAACUGGGUUGAAUUCCAGGCACCCACAUGGCAGCUAAGAGCAUUUGUAAUAUAAAUUCCAGAGGAUCUGAUGCCCUCUUCUGGUCUCUGUGGUUACUGCAUGCAUGUGGUGCUAGACAUGCAAGCAGGCAAAACACAUACAAAUAUAAAAUUAAAAAUUUAAAGAUAAAUAAAAAUGAAUCUUCACCAAGAAUAAAAUGGAACAGGAUGUUCACAAGUGAGCCAUAUGCAGGGAGCACUGUUAAAGACCUCUCAGAGCCUGAGCCACAGUGCCUCAGCAACCUGAUGGACCAGUGCCACUGACCUGUCUCACCCCACCUGACCCUCAGCCUCAGAACAAUUAACUACAAACCAUUGGCUCAAGUCCCUCACGACUGGGACCUAGUCUUCUUCAAAAAUCAUUUCAUCCUUCAACUUACACACUUACCCUCCCUUGGUCCCUUUCCCUUUUUCAACAGGGUCUUACUGUAGAGGUUAGACAGGCCUGAAACUUGGGACCCUACUGCCCCGGCUGCCAGUGUGCAGGAAUUAGGCAUGUGCCACCAUGCACAGCUUUCAUUCUCGACUUUCUUAUCGCUAAAUAAGACUUCUAGUAGUCAAGCUGGAGAGAUGGCUCAGUGCCUGCUCUUCCAAAGGUCCUGAAUUCAAUUCCCAGUAACCACAUAAUGGCUCACAACCAUCUGUAAUGAGGUCUGGUGCCCUCUUUCUGGCAUGCAAGCAUACAUGGAAGGAAUGUUGUAUACUAAAUAAAUAAAUCCUUAAAAAAAAGACUUCUAGUAGUCUUUGUUAAAAUUAUUAUCACUAUUGUUUUUGUUAGUAAGUACGGGGAGCAGGAGUGCCACGUGAACAAGUGGAUCCAUGCUAAGAACUUGUAUUUUAAGUCU
This is a long non-coding RNA of Arvicola amphibius (Eurasian water vole), 3386 nucleotides long. RefSeq lists it as uncharacterized. NCBI's taxonomy places the organism in Eukaryota, Metazoa, Chordata, Mammalia, Rodentia, Cricetidae. The transcript is spliced from 3 exons. The record is from RefSeq and is a predicted model, not a curated record.